RNAcentral lists this ribosomal RNA (484 nucleotides) under uncultured bacterium. Its description in RNAcentral is "partial 16S ribosomal RNA". It matches the Rfam family "Bacterial small subunit ribosomal RNA", at positions 30 to 507 of the family's 1533-position model. The record is from RNAcentral.
AUUGAACGCUGGCGGCAGGCCUAACACAUGCAAGUCGAGCGGAUGAAGGGAGCUUGCUCCUGGAUUCAGCGGCGGACGGGUGAGUAAUGCCUAGGAAUCUGCCUGGUAGUGGGGGAUAACGUCCGGAAACGGGCGCUAAUACCGCAUACGUCCUGAGGGAGAAAGUGGGGGAUCUUCGGACCUCACGCUAUCAGAUGAGCCUAGGUCGGAUUAGCUAGUUGGUGGGGUAAAGGCCUACCAAGGCGACGAUCCGUAACUGGUCUGAGAGGAUGAUCAGUCACACUGGAAGUGAGACACGGUCCAGACUCCUACGGGAGGCAGCAGUGGGGAAUAUUGGACAAUGGGCGAAAGCCUGAUCCAGCCAUGCCGCGUGUGUGAAGAAGGUCUUCGGAUUGUAAAGCACUUUAAGUUGGGAGAAAGGGCAGUAAGUUAAUACCUUGCUGUUUUGACGUUACCAACAGAAUAAGCACCGGCUAACUUCGUG